This 22-nucleotide ribosomal RNA is filed under the name Calamus fissus. RNAcentral describes it as "partial 26S ribosomal RNA". Lineage: Eukaryota; Viridiplantae; Streptophyta; Magnoliopsida; Arecales; Arecaceae. The record is from RNAcentral.
GUGACCCUAGGUCAGGAGGGCC